GUGGCUCAGUGGCAGAGUACUUGCCUUGCAUGCAUGAGGCCCUGGGUUCGAUUCCUCAGC
Molecule: transfer RNA, 60 nt
Filed under: Dipodomys ordii (Ord's kangaroo rat)
Lineage: Eukaryota; Metazoa; Chordata; Mammalia; Rodentia; Heteromyidae
Rfam family: tRNA
About the family: Transfer RNA (tRNA) molecules are approximately 80 nucleotides in length.
Source: Rfam by way of RNAcentral